AGCAGUCGCCGCGGUAAUACGUAGGGUGCAAGCGUUAAUCGGAAUUACUGGGCGUAAAGCGUGCGCAGGCGGUUUGUUAAGACAGAUGUGAAAUCCCCGGGCUUAACCUGGGAACUGCAUUUGUGACUGGCAAGCUAGAGUCUGGCAGAGGGGGGUGGAAUUCCGCGUGUAGCAGUGAAAUGCGUAGAUAUGCGGAGGAACACCGAUGGCGAAGGCAGCCCCCUGGGCCAACACUGACGCUCAUGCACGAAAGCGUGGGGAGCAAACAGGAUUAGAUACCCCAGUAGUCCCUGUCUCUUAUAC
Molecule: ribosomal RNA, 303 nt
Filed under: uncultured bacterium
Lineage: Bacteria
Description: partial 16S ribosomal RNA
Rfam family: Bacterial small subunit ribosomal RNA
Source: RNAcentral